GAUUGAUGUCUGUCCUCAUAAAUUAGGAACUGGGCGAUUACAAAAAAACAGCAAUUCAGCAGCCUUUUGUUUUCAAUGAAGAGCUAGAAGACGACAGCCAGGGAUGUGUUCCAGGUAACUUCAAUGGUUAUCAGGAAGCUUCGUGGUACACGAUUGGGGGUGCAAUUAAAUAGCACGAUCAUGAACAUCACUGAUGGCUUUGGUCAGGUCUCCAGUGCAGUGAAGUGUAUGACCAUGAUUUUCUUUCCAGUUGAAGAGCCUAAAGAGGGAAGUAUCUUCAGGGAGAGAAAGUGGUGCCUUGAAGUAAAGGAGAAACAACUUUCCUUUUCUUAGUUGUUCAGAAUCUUCUCACUCUGUUGAGCAAUCGACACAGAGACAACUGACGCUAUGGAUUUGUCCCAUGGUCAAAGAAGAUUCCUGCAAAUGGCUUCAAAUACUACAAAGUCAAUCUAAGUGAAAAGUGUCACUUUCACUCCCCACAGAAUUCAAGGGUCUCCAUCUUAAUAGACUUACACUCUUUCUGCUACCCAAUGAUGUCAUAUAAAUAUGUGAAAUGGAUCUGAGUUUUCAUUUUCGACAGUGUUCUCAGAUAGACACUACAUUUUUUGCAGCCUCACUGGCUAUUAAGUGUGACCACGUGACCAAGUUUGGACCAAAGAAAGCGGAACUGCUUGAAGAAGCUGUCUUAGAUCCAGAAAAGCAAGCCACAUAUUGAGGCUGGGAGAGCUUCACCAUCACACUGAGUCCCUGGAUGACCUCGCGGAGCAGAAUCUUUUCUUCUUAUUCUACACUGUUACUGUUAGGAGGAAAAAUAAACUUCUAUCUUGUUGAGACAUUCUAUUUUAGGAAACACUCGAAACAGUAACACAGCCAAUAAUUUUAUGAAUAAACUCAUUCUACACCACACACACCCCCACAGACACCACUACACAUACAUACAAUAUUAGUAAGCUCCUACUAAGCAGACUUCAUUUUCUAUUCCUAUCACUGUUACCAAAGUGUAUGAAACAAGUUAAGAAUCUCUUACAUAACAAUAACUUAACAAUAGUAUCAAAUCAUCACAUUAUACACUUUAAACUUAUAUGCCAAUUACAUCUCAAUAAAGCUGGUAGAAAAGAAAAAAC
This 1124-nucleotide long non-coding RNA is filed under the name Equus caballus (horse). Its description in RNAcentral is "lncRNA (ENSECAG00000045713.1)". The record is from RNAcentral. Lineage: Eukaryota; Metazoa; Chordata; Mammalia; Perissodactyla; Equidae.